Molecule: long non-coding RNA, 661 nt
Organism: Macadamia integrifolia
Lineage: Eukaryota; Viridiplantae; Streptophyta; Magnoliopsida; Proteales; Proteaceae
Exons: 2
Source: RefSeq, a predicted model, not a curated record
GUAGUAUGUCUUUGCAACUAUGUUGCAACUCCUAGGCUUAGGUGCUUAGUAGAAAGUCUAUUAUUUUACACUGAAAUUUUCAAACUGAUUCCAAAACAUUUAGUAUUGUUGCAGAAAAUUCGAUUUGUAACUUCAUAAAGAUAACAUGUUUACUAAAGUGUUUUUUUUUUUUUUUUUUUUUUUUGCAACAGGAGCACAAACAUUUCCCAAUGAAACAUAUGAAUGGGUUAAUGUCAAAGAUGUUGCAGAUGCUCAUGUUCUAGCAUUUGAGACUCCUUCAGCUAAUGGAAGAUAUAUAAUAGCCGAGAGAGUUGCUCAUUAUUCACAUAUUGUAACAGCUUUGCAUGAACUUUAUCCAACUUUGCCCCUUCCUGAAAAGUGCGCGGAUGACAAGCCUUACGUGCCAACAUACCAAGUAUCACAGGAGAAAGCUAGAAGCUUGGGCAUCAAUUUCAUCCCACUGGAGGUGAGCCUGAAGGAAACCGUCGAAAGCUUGAAGGAGAAAGGCUUUGCUUAGUUACUGAAGUUUGAUCAAUAGAAGUCAUACAAAUAAAGGACAAUAGAGUGGACUAGAUAAACUCUCUCUUUUCUAAGUGCUAACAAUAAAUGAGUUGCUAGAAAAUAAAGUUGGUAAUGAAAAAGUGUUCAGUAUUGAUGGUUA